AGCCUGAACGCUGGCGGCGUGGUUAAGACAUGCAAGUCGCACGGUGUAGCAAUACACAGUGGCGAACGGGUGAGUAAUGAAUCGCUAAUGUGCCCCGGACUCUGGGAUAGCUAGCCGAAAGGUUAGGUAAUACCAGAUGACAUAUUCCUACCGCAUGGUCGGGAAUCUCAAAGGUCCGCCGGUCUGGGAGCAGGCGAUUUCGUAUCAGCUAGUUGGUGAGGUAACGGCUCACCAAGGCGACGACGCGUAGCCGGACUGAGAGGUUGGCCGGCCACAUCGGGACUGAGACACUGCCCGGACUCCUACGGGGGGCUGCAGUAACGAAUCUUCCCCAAUGCACGAAAGUGUGAGGGAGCGACGCCGCGUGUGGGACGAAGUCCUUCGGGAUGUAACCACUGUCAGGGGAUACCAAGUUCUGAGGAUCCCCAGAGGAAGAGGCGGCUAACUCUGUGCCAGCAGCCGC
This 463-nucleotide ribosomal RNA is filed under the name uncultured bacterium. RNAcentral describes it as "SSU rRNA". It matches the Rfam family "Bacterial small subunit ribosomal RNA", at positions 26 to 518 of the family's 1533-position model. The record is from RNAcentral.